UAUUGUCUAUCCUACACCCACCUCGUUUAACCUCCACCACCAUAGCCGACGGCCGGCGACCACACACCUCGGAUCGAACAUAAAAUUUCCAAAGUUUCUUCUAAUUUCCAGUCUCAAGUCGUGAGCCAGGAUUUCCGGCGAGAGUUCAAGUCAAGCUGCGGGGAAGAAAAGAAAGCGAAUACGGGAUCCGGUCAGUUCGGGUUAUUGGCUUGGAGUUGCGAUUGAGGGAUCUGUGACGUUUUGGAAGGCUUGGAACUAGACGGAUGCAGAUCAAAAGGAAAAUCAGAGUAGGUUGCUAGUAACGUAUACGAGAGUGCCAACCGGACUAGGUAUUGGACACCAAUUCUGCCACUCGGUCUCAAACCAGUUAUCAAGGCGCAUGUAGGCUGGAGGUCAUGUAAUAUAUUUUUAUUGAGUUAGGGUAGUUGAAUCUUAGUUAUUGUCAUUGGAGGUCAUGUAGGCUGCACGGCACACCCAGCAACGGCGCCGGCUGCAAGUCGCACAAGCAGCGGCUUCGGCUGCAUGACGCACGAGCAACGACUUCGGCUGCACGACGCACGCGGCAGCAGCGUCGGCUUCACGACGCACACAGCAACGACGUCGGCUGCAUGACGGACUAGCAACGGUGCCGACUACACAAAUUCAUAAAGUUUUUAUAUAUCUAUGGAUCAUGUCUAAGAUAAGCUUCUUGGCCCGUCAUCUUUUGUUUCCACUUUUGAUAUUUGUUUGUACCAUAACUCGUGUUUCAAUUAAACAACCUUUUGU
RNAcentral lists this long non-coding RNA (765 nucleotides) under Helianthus annuus (common sunflower). RNAcentral's name for it is "hypothetical non coding rna". The record is from RNAcentral. Lineage: Eukaryota; Viridiplantae; Streptophyta; Magnoliopsida; Asterales; Asteraceae.